GACUGCAGGCUGCAACUCGCCUGCACGAAGUCGGAAUUGCUAGUAAUCGUAGGUCAGCAUACUACGGUGAAUACGUUCCCGGGCCUUGUACACACCGCCCGUCAAACCAUGAGAGUUGGCAACACCCGAAGUCGGUAGUCUAACCGCAAGGAGGACGCCGCCGAAGGUGGGGGUUNAUGAUUAGGGUUAAGUCGUAACAAGGUAAC
Molecule: ribosomal RNA, 206 nt
Filed under: uncultured bacterium
Lineage: Bacteria
Description: partial 16S ribosomal RNA
Rfam family: Bacterial small subunit ribosomal RNA
Source: RNAcentral